This 246-nucleotide unclassified non-coding RNA is filed under the name Hevea brasiliensis (rubber tree). Lineage: Eukaryota; Viridiplantae; Streptophyta; Magnoliopsida; Malpighiales; Euphorbiaceae. The record is from RNAcentral.
CAUGCAGAAUUCCAUAUCUUACUUUGAAGAUAUUUGUUUGAGAGAGAAUCAGAUGAUUAAGCAAGCUCUUCUUGCUAACUUGGCCUAUGUAGAGUUGGAACUAGAAAAUCCUGAGAAGGCCUUGUCAACUGCGAGGUCUCUCUUGGAACUUGCAGAAUGUUCGAGAAUUUAUGUUUUUCUUGGUCAUGUGUAUGCAGCAGAGGCCCUCUGCUUGCUGAACAAGCCUAAGGAAGCUGCUGAGCACUU